GUGAGGAAUCUUCCACAAUGGGCGAAAGCCUGAUGGAGCAACGCCGCGUGAAGGAUGAAGGUCUUCGGAUUGUAAACUUCUUUUAUGAGUGAAGAAUAUGACGGUAACUCAUGAAUAAGCACCGGCUAACUACGUGCCAGCAGCCGCGGUCAUACGUAGGGUGCAAGCAUUAUCCGGAGUGACUGGGCGUAAAGAGUUGCGUAGGCGGUUAUGUAAGCGAAUAGGGAAACCUGGUGGCUCAACCACACAGACUAUUAUUCGAACUGCAUAACUCGAGAAUGGUAGAGGUAACUGGAAUUUCUUGUGUAGGAGUGAAAUCCGUAGAUAUAAGAAGGAACACCAAUGGCGUAGGCAGGUUACUGGGCCAUUUCUGACGCUAAGGCACGAAAGCGUGGGGAGCAAACCGGAUUAGAUACCCGAGUAGUCC
This 427-nucleotide ribosomal RNA is filed under the name uncultured bacterium. RNAcentral describes it as "partial 16S ribosomal RNA". It matches the Rfam family "Bacterial small subunit ribosomal RNA", at positions 354 to 796 of the family's 1533-position model. The record is from RNAcentral.